AACGAACGCUGGCGGCAUGCCUAACACAUGCAAGUCGAACGAACCCUUCGGGGUGAGUGGCGCACGGGUGCGUAACGCGUGGGAACCUGCCCUUAGGUUCGGAACAACAGUUAGAAAUGACUGCUAAUACCGAAUAAUGUCUUCGGACCAAAGAUUUAUCGCCUUUGGAUGGGCCCGCGUAGGAUUAGCUAGUUGGUGAGGUAAAGGCUCACCAAGGCGACGAUCCUUAGCUGGUCUUAGAGGAUGAUCAGCCACACUGGGACUGAGACACGGCCCAGACUCCUACGGGAGGCAGCAGUGGGGAAUAUUGGACAAUGGGCGAAAGCCUGAUCCAGCAAUGCCGCGUGAGUGAUGAAGGCCUUAGGGUUGUNAAGCUCUUUUACCCGGGAUGAUAAUGACAGUACCGGGAGAAUAAGCCCCGGCUAACUCCGUGCCAGCAGCCGCGGUAAUACGGANGGGGCUAGCGUUGNUCNGAAAUACUGGGCGUAAAGCGCACGUAGGCGGCCAAGUAAGUCAGGGGUGAAAUCCCGGGGCUCAACCCCGGAACUGCCCUUGAAACUGCAUGGCUAGAAUACUGGAGAGGCAAGUGGAAUUCCGAGUGUAGAGGUGAAAUUCGUAGAUAUUCGGAAGAACACCAGUGGCGAAGGCGACUUGCUGGACAGUUAUUGACGCUGA
Molecule: ribosomal RNA, 675 nt
Filed under: uncultured bacterium
Lineage: Bacteria
Description: bacterial SSU rRNA
Rfam family: Bacterial small subunit ribosomal RNA
Source: RNAcentral